This 1100-nucleotide long non-coding RNA is filed under the name Fragaria vesca (wild strawberry). RNAcentral's name for it is "long non-coding RNA (FVES_LNC003770)". Lineage: Eukaryota; Viridiplantae; Streptophyta; Magnoliopsida; Rosales; Rosaceae. The record is from RNAcentral.
AUUAACAAGCUAGCAUUUCCUUAGAAAGUAAUACUAUCAAAGUAUAACACAUACGACUGUAAUUUUAUAACAGCAAAUGCACAUCAUAUACAAAACAAUAACAUAGACAUUGAGUUAACAUAAAUUUAUAAGUUAUGAAGAGAACAUAAUUAUGUAGAAUAUAUACUCUAGUGUGUGUAAGAAUAUAGACCACAGAUACAAAUAUAUUCACCUUUGUUCUAAAUAUUUAUCUCUACUACACUGUGCAUGGCAAUGUCAUAUGGCCCAAAACUAAUAAAAUGUGCCGAUAUAAACACUUGCAGAGAUUAAAAAAAACUGAAACAUGCCAAGAAUGAAAGAAGGAAAAUGAAUUUGUAUUAUACUAUUAUAUACUUGUAGUAGGAACGAGGGUAACUGAAAUACAAGAUGCACUUUCAAAACCAAGUCUUCCUAAUUUGAAGCAAGGUUACAGCUACCGCAAUAGCUACAACUUGUCCUUCUGCAAUGGAACGAGCCACAUGGAACUAAUCAAAUCUACAAACCAGAUAAUAAUGAAGCACAAUCCAAAAUCCAUAUAAAAUUCAAAACACUAUGUUUUGUACAACUCAAAACAGAUCAUCCUACAUCCAUAUAAUCUUACUGGUAACUUUUCUUUGCUUAUAACAUUACAAAGCAUAUGGAAUGAAAACCCCAUAAUCGAUCAUAUACCUUGACAGCUAAACCCUAAACUGAACAAGAAUUGAGCAUUAUAUUAUAAGAGAACAUGUUUGUCCUUACUCAGUAGAUUGAUUCACACACAAGAACAAAUCUACACACAACAAAUUGAACACUAAAUUGAAAUAAUAAAACAGUAAAACGAAAUUCAUAAACAAAUCUACACACAACAAACUGAACACUAAAUUGAAAUAAUAAAACAGUAAAACGAAAUUCAUAAACAAAUCUACACACAACAAAAUGAACACUAAAUUGAAAUACCCAAACAGUAAAAUGAAUCUCAUAAUUUGACAUACCCAAACACUAAAUUCAUAAACAAUAGAACCUUAACAAACACCAAAUUGAAAUACCCAACCACAAAAUUGCAAAAUCGAAAUAGGUUUUCCUUCAGAAAUUGAAAAACAAGG